UACGUAGGGGGCAAGCGUUGUCCGGAUUUAUUGGGCGUAAAGAGCGUGUAGGCGGCCACACAGGUCUGCUGUGAAAACUCGAGGCUCAACCUCGAGCUGUCGGUGGAAACCGUGUGGCUAGAGUCCGGAAGAGGAGAGUGGAAUUCCCGGUGUAGCGGUGAAAUGCGCAGAUAUCGGGAAGAACACCCGUGGCGAAGGCGGCUCUCUGGGACGGUACUGACGCUGAGACGCGAAAGCGUGGGGAGGGAACAGG
RNAcentral lists this ribosomal RNA (253 nucleotides) under uncultured bacterium. Its description in RNAcentral is "partial 16S ribosomal RNA". It matches the Rfam family "Bacterial small subunit ribosomal RNA", at positions 524 to 776 of the family's 1533-position model. The record is from RNAcentral.